Hippoglossus stenolepis (Pacific halibut) is the source of this 452-nucleotide long non-coding RNA. RefSeq lists it as uncharacterized. The transcript is spliced from 4 exons. NCBI's taxonomy places the organism in Eukaryota, Metazoa, Chordata, Actinopteri, Pleuronectiformes, Pleuronectidae. The record is from RefSeq and is a predicted model, not a curated record.
CCUACAGAACAAAUGGUUCAGUCCUUCCCCGCACGUGUCCCUCGCGUGAAGGUAAUCAGAGUCAGUGAGUGACAGCUGGAGAAGUGACGUUCAAUCAGGAAACGAGACGUAAAGUGAGAGAAGAAGGAAAAGAGAAGGAAACAAACAGGGCGGACGAGUCGUGAUGGAUGUCUCUCCACAGGAAGGAAAACGACGAACAGCUGGAGACAGGGUGGAGAAAACAGGACUGAUAUCACAUCAGUGCUACCCGUCCCCACCUGUCCACUACAGUGCCACUGACGAGCUUCAGCACCCGAACCAGUCGCUCAUCAUGUAAACUUUCACUUGUAAAACUGCAGCUCAGAGAAAUGAGGACACCAGACAUUAGCGGAUGAUGGCUGUGACUCACGAAAAAGGAGACAUGAGAGACAAUACAGUCGUGAUUCAGUGGAAGAAGCCAACGGAGGGUUUAU